This 497-nucleotide ribosomal RNA is filed under the name uncultured bacterium. RNAcentral's name for it is "partial 16S ribosomal RNA". It matches the Rfam family "Bacterial small subunit ribosomal RNA", at positions 28 to 507 of the family's 1533-position model. The record is from RNAcentral.
GAUGAACGCUGGCGGCGUGCCUAAUACAUGCAAGUCGAGCGAACGGACGAGAAGCUUGCUUCUCUGAUGUUAGCGGCGGACGGGUGAGUAACACGUGGAUAACCUACCUAUAAGACUGGGAUAACUUCGGGAAACCGAAGCUAAUACCGGAUAAUAUUUUGAACCGCAUGGUUCAAAAGUGAAAGACGGUCUUGCUGUCACUUAUAGAUGGAUCCGCGCUGCAUUAGCUAGUUGGUAAGGUAACGGCUUACCAAGGCAACGAUGCAUAGCCGACCUGAGAGGGUGAUCGGCCACCCUGGAACUGAGACACGGUCCAGACUCCUACGGGAGGCAGCAGUAGGGAAUCUUCCGCAAUGGGCGAAAGCCUGACGGAGCAACGCCGCGUGAGUGAUGAAGGUCUUCGGAUCGUAAAACUCUGUUAUUAGGGAAGAACAUAUGUGUAAGUAACUGUGCACAUCUUGACGGUACCUAAUCAGAAAGCCACGGCUAACUACGUG